This 468-nucleotide ribosomal RNA is filed under the name uncultured bacterium. RNAcentral's name for it is "partial 16S ribosomal RNA". It matches the Rfam family "Bacterial small subunit ribosomal RNA", at positions 28 to 507 of the family's 1533-position model. The record is from RNAcentral.
GACGAACGCUGGCGGCGUGCUUAACACAUGCAAGUCGAACGGAAAGGCCCUGCUUUUGUGGGGUGCUCGAGUGGCGAACGGGUGAGUAACACGUGAGUAACCUGCCCUUGACUUUGGGAUAACUUCAGGAAACUGGAGCUAAUACCGGAUAGGAGCUCCUGCUGCAUGGUGGGGGUUGGAAAGUUUCGGCGAUUGGGGAUGGACUCGCGGCUUAUCAGCUUGUUGGUGGGGUAGUGGCUUACCAAGGCUUUGACGGGUAGCCGGCCUGAGAGGGUGACCGGCCACAUUGGGACUGAGAUACGGCCCAGACUCCUACGGGAGGCAGCAGUGGGGAAUAUUGCACAAUGGGCGGAAGCCUGAUGCAGCAACGCCGCGUGCGGGAUGACGGCCUUCGGGUUGUAAACCGCUUUCGCCUGUGACGAAGCGUGAGUGACGGUAAUGGGUAAAGAAGCACCGGCUAACUACGUG